AUUGAACGCUGGCGGCAUGCCUUACACAUGCAAGUCGAACGGCAGCACGGGUGCUUGCACCUGGUGGCGAGUGGCAAACGGGUGAGUAAUACAUCGGAACGUACCUUAUCGUGGGGGAUAACGCAGCGAAAGCUGUGCUAAUACCGCAUACGCCCUGAGGGGGAAAGCGGGGGAUCGAAAGACCUCGCGCGAUUAGAGCGGCCGAUGCCUGAUUAGCUUGUUGGUGGGGUAAAAGCCCACCAAGGCGACGAUCAGUAGCUGGUCUGAGAGGACGAUCAGCCACCCUGGGACUGAGACACGGCCCAGACUCCUACGGGAGGCAGCAGUGGGGAAUUUUGGACAAUGGGGGCAACCCUGAUCCAGCAAUGCCGCGUGAGUGAAGAAGGCCUUCGGGUUGUAAAGCUCUUUUGUCAGGGAAGAAACACCGGCUCUAACACAGUCCGGGAAUGACGGUACCUGAAGAAUAAGCACCGGCUAACUACGUGCCAGCCGCCGCAGUAA
Molecule: ribosomal RNA, 501 nt
Filed under: uncultured bacterium
Lineage: Bacteria
Description: partial 16S ribosomal RNA
Rfam family: Bacterial small subunit ribosomal RNA
Source: RNAcentral